UACGUAGGGGGCUAGCGUUGUCCGGAUUUAUGGGGCGUAAAGAGCGUGUAGGCGGCCAUGUAGGUCCGGUGUGAAAACUCGAGGCUUAACCUCGAGAUGUCAUCGGAAACCAUUUGGCUAGAGUCCGGAAGAGGAGAGUGGAAUUCCUGGUGUAGCGGUGAAAUGCGCAGAUAUCAGGAAGAACACCAAUGGCGAAAGCAGCUCUCUGGGACGGUACUGACGCUGAGACGCGAAAGCGUGGGGAGCGAACAGG
Molecule: ribosomal RNA, 253 nt
Filed under: uncultured bacterium
Lineage: Bacteria
Description: partial 16S ribosomal RNA
Rfam family: Bacterial small subunit ribosomal RNA
Source: RNAcentral